This is a non-coding RNA of Labrus bergylta (ballan wrasse), 1809 nucleotides long. The record is from RefSeq and is a predicted model, not a curated record. Lineage: Eukaryota; Metazoa; Chordata; Actinopteri; Labriformes; Labridae.
CCCCCCCGCCCCCCCCUCCUCCUCCUCCUCUGCAGCCUGAUUGAUGGAGUGGAUGACGUUGGAAAUAAAAGACUCCCUUUCCACUGAAAACACAGCAGGUGUUACAGCUACAUCCCUUCUAUUGCUGUUUAAGAAGAAACAAACAGAGUCGGUGUUUAUUUUUUACCUUACUUCACGGUGACUUUGCCCUGGAAGGAAUGCAUUUGGUUUCCUCUGUAACUCAGCUUGAAGCGACCAGAAAUAUCAGCCUCCUUUUGAAUCAUGCAUGAAUAGUCAGACUGAGUGGCGCCAUCUGCUGGUACAACCAUGGAGCUCUUUGAUUACUAAAUCAGUGUUCCUAUAUUAGAUCUUACAAACAGGGAAUAUUAUCAGCCACAAACAGAGGGUGUUAAAGGUUGCUUGUUUACUAAUGUCCCAAUGGUUUACAAAUGUAACCCUGUCCUCCCUGCAAGAGCCUGUACCCUCUUUUCUCUGCUCUGCCUCCUUCUGUUCCCUCCUCUGCGUCCACUCUCUUGAAUGGUGCUAAGUGUUAGAGAGUCCUGCUUUCUGUAUUUGUUUUUCAGCAGGAAGGUUCAUCAAGGCCUUGAAGGUGCAGCCCUUUCAGAGUGAUUGACACUGGAGGUGCCCUCUGCUUUGCCUGCACACAGCUGUUGACACGCAGGAGAGGACGUUCCUGAGGAGGAGCAGCUGAGGUCCAAAGAUCAGAAGAGCAUCGAGGUCAAAUCACAACACUCCCAUCAUCCAUAACCUGCCGCCAGGCUGGAGGAGGCGUCUCGGUCGCCGGUGACGAGCGGAGCAAAUACGAGGAGGACAUCAGCUACCUGAACAACAGCUGGAUGACAAGGAGAGAGAUCAGACCAACCUGCAGCAGCACAAGACGGUACAGAUAUGUUUUAGGAGAAAGUGUUUAAAGUCUGCAUCUCAAGGUCUGCAGAAACAUACAGACUGUUUCACGUGUGUGUGUGUGUGUGUGUGUGUGUGUGUGUGUGUGUCUGAGCUGAACAGUCUGCAGAGAAAGAGAGCUACCAAGUCCUCAACCUGCUGCUACGAGACCUCAGUGACAUCGGCGCCAUCAUCGGCACCAGUGAUGUCAACACAGCUGUGAGAACGGACACACACAAUGCUCAAUGUCUUUAACUUCCCCCUCAUGCUCAGUCCUCAGAGUCAGAGGGGAACGGCUCGGAGGUGGAGCACGCAGGCCGACGUCCACUUAAACAUUCGGGCCAAUGACAAGGAGGCAUGAUGGAGACGAGGACAUCAAGGUGAGGACACACUUUGUAUUGUCUGUAAUCCGUUUCUACAUCUCCACAAAACUCUGGAGGAGCAGCUGGAGAACCACCACAAGCAGCUCAGCCGCCUCAGAGACCAGAUCCGAGACCAGCAGAGGAUGAUGGACGAGCUCACAGAAGGCCUGAGACGGAGCAGAUCACCUCUGAGAUGCUGAAGAACACGAUUGAGGAUCGGGGGAGCGUGGAGGAGGAGGAGCGCAGGAGGAGAAGUUUCAGACGGCUCCGUUAGAGGAGAUCGCCGCUCACUGUGGCGCCCGGACAUCGCUGCUUCAGUCCGAGGUCUUCGAUCUGAUCAUCCGUCCGGUCACUUGCAGCCGCGCUCCACGCCGCUCUGUGAGAUGAAGUUCCCCGACCUCUGUGUUUAUUAGACGAUCAGCAGUUAUGUGUUCAGUAUCCAGGUAGGAGAGGAGACAAGGAGACAAGGAGGCAGGAGAGGGGGCAAGAAGGAGACAGGGAGACAAGGAGGAAGAAUGCAGGAGACAAUGAGGCAGGAGAGGAGACAAGGAGACAGGAGAGGAGA